GAUGAACGCUGGCGGCGUGCUUAACACAUGCAAGUCGAACGAAGCACUUUAUUUGAUUUCCUUCGGGACUGAUUAUUUUGUGACUGAGUGGCGGACGGGUGAGUAACGCGUGGGUAACCUGCCUUGUCCAGGGGGAUAACCGUUGGAAACGGCUGCUAAUACCGCAUAAGCGCACGGCAUCGCAUGAUGCAGUGUGAAAAACUCCGGUGGUAUAAGAUGGACCCGCGUUGGAUUAGCUGGUUGGUGAGGUAACGGCCCACCAAGGCGACGAUCCAUAGCCGACCUGAGAGGGUGACCGGCCACAUUGGGACGGAGACACGGCCCAAACUCCUACGGGAGGCAGCAGUGGGUAAUAUUGCACAAUGGGCGAAAGCCUGAUGCAGCGACGCCGCGUGAGCGAAGAAAUAUUUCGGUAUGUAAAGCGCUAGCAGCAGGGAAGAUAAUGACGGUACCUGACUAAGAAGCACCGGCUAAAUACGUG
RNAcentral lists this ribosomal RNA (481 nucleotides) under uncultured bacterium. Its description in RNAcentral is "partial 16S ribosomal RNA". It matches the Rfam family "Bacterial small subunit ribosomal RNA", at positions 28 to 507 of the family's 1533-position model. The record is from RNAcentral.